GAUGAACGCUAGCGGGAGGCUUAAUACAUGCAAGUCGAGGGGUAACGAUGGACUUCGGUUCAGGCGACGACCGGCGCACGGGUGAGUAACGCGUACACGACCUACCUUAUACAGAGGGAUAGGCCUGGGAAACUGGGAGUAAUACCUCAUAGUAAUAUUUAUUUUCGAAUUAAUAUUUAAAGCUCCGGCGGUAUAAGAUGGGUGUGCGUUAGAUUAGCUAGUUGGUAAGGUAAUGGCUUACCAAGGCGACGAUCUAUAGGGGGCGUGAGAGCGUGGACCCCCACACGGGUACUGAGACACGGACCCGACUCCUACGGGAGGCAGCAGUAAGGAAUAUUGGACAAUGGGGGCAACCCUGAUCCAGCCAUCCUGCGUGCAGGAAGACGGCCCUAUGGGUUGUAAACUGCUUUUGUAUGGGAAGAAUAUGUUUCAUUUAUGAGAUUUUGACGGUACCAUACGAAUAAGCACCGGCUAACUCCG
RNAcentral lists this ribosomal RNA (480 nucleotides) under uncultured Saprospiraceae bacterium. Its description in RNAcentral is "bacterial SSU rRNA". It matches the Rfam family "Bacterial small subunit ribosomal RNA", at positions 28 to 505 of the family's 1533-position model. The record is from RNAcentral. Lineage: Bacteria; Pseudomonadati; Bacteroidota; Saprospiria; Saprospirales; Saprospiraceae.